This 294-nucleotide long non-coding RNA is filed under the name Scleropages formosus (Asian bonytongue). RNAcentral's name for it is "lncRNA (ENSSFOG00015024441.1)". Lineage: Eukaryota; Metazoa; Chordata; Actinopteri; Osteoglossiformes; Osteoglossidae. The record is from RNAcentral.
GAAAAGGCACCUAAAUCUUUCCCUCACGGAAUCCGAAGGUAUAACUUUCCUCAGGACGACUCCUCAGUUCCAAAGACAGCGAAGUUGAAAGGCUUGGGAGAAGAAGAGGACGUGAAGUGAGGAGAGGCGUGGAAAAAAUUAAAAGAGGAGUCCCACUGCGUGAAAGUGGACAGAAGGACGGACGAGGAGGAAGCCCCACCCACAGCUUCCUGUUUAUUUCGAACCCUUCCAGGACCAGCAGCUCGAGAGGCGCUGAGCUCACACCUCGUCUUCCCAACUCUCGGGUGGGCCUGU